Small nucleolar RNA from Triticum dicoccoides, 87 nucleotides. Lineage: Eukaryota; Viridiplantae; Streptophyta; Magnoliopsida; Poales; Poaceae. The record is from RefSeq and is a predicted model, not a curated record.
UCUCUAUGAUGAUGAAUAGAGGUUAAGAAUCCUAUGUAAUUUGUUAUACCAAACCAUGUGGAAUAAUGAGGCAUUUGUUUGGGAGAA